CAACUUCUGGGCAAGGCAGAGGUGGGUUUGGCUUUUUAAAAAUUUUUUCAGCCUGUCCUCAUGGAACUACAUAUUCUUUUCUAAGAACUUUUCAUCCUAACCUCCCUACUCACAUCUUCUAAGUGUCUCUGCUCUGGUGGGAAUGUGAUGGACAACACAGAGCCAUCUCAGAAGCCUCUGUGGCCACCACCAGGCCGGCCAGGGUGCAGGGGGCCACUCCCUGGGCAGCCAUAGGGUUCUCAGCAAGGUGCAUUCGUCGUCCCUGCUGAGAAUCUGAUGGGGCAGCAUUUUUUUUUUUAAUUAAAUGCAAGCUGAGUCAUUUCAACCUGCAACCUUCAGGUAACAGGAGUUACCCAAGCUCCAGGAAUUAUGAUUGUGGGGUAAACCCAUUCUCUUGUUUUCUUGCGGUUCUAUUUUAUAACGCACUAGAGGAGACAGAGACGUCAUUGCUUCACCCAGGGCAAGAGGACAAAGGAGGAUGCAUGGAAAUACAAACAGCCCUUCUCCUCCAGGCCAUACCGACUGUCCAACUAGCAACAGACUUCACCUGGUUUUGGAGCAAUCUGAAUUUGGAAUAUGCCAGAGAAAACUUCUAUCAGGCAAGAUGGAAGACUCCUAGGAUAGGUCUCUCUCAUGGAGGGAUUGGCACGAUGGUAAGAGUCCAGUGGAUGGAAAAGGCCUCCUCCUUAAAGAUGGUGAUGGAAACGAGCACUGCACAGGGAAACACAAAUCAGGUCCCCUGAAAUCCAGCCCAACCUGGCCAGACCCUCCAGUGCCCAUCAGGGCUUAUGAACAGGGUGCUUCAGUGUCUUUGUUAGGGGUGGUUAAAAAGGAGCACGUGCUUAUAGGGGAUGCUGCUGAGCUCCAUGAUUUUGACUUCCUGUCUAACCUGUUGAUGCUACAAAACUCUUUUAAAAACAGUUACCAUGGGAACUUUUCCCUAGCAAGCAUUCUUCAAGAAACGUUACAGGUGCUGGUGAAUUCAAUGCCCUUGGUGUCAAUAAGCUUUUGCUGAGUCUUAGAAUGUGUGGCUUGAACUGAGAGGACUUUCAAACAGAUAAUGCGAAGUUUCCAAUGCAAAUGUCUUCGGGGUUAAGUGUCAGUGAAGUGCAGUGGAAGGUAGGGGGAUAAAAUGAUCUCAGUGUAUAUGGAGGCCCCACUUAAGCAUUCAAAAAAUUCUAUAUACAGUGUUUUCAAUGUAUUAUGUAUCAGCAAAACAAAAUACCCCAUAGGGCUAUAAUCAGCUCAGGGGGUCACCUCAGCAAGAGAUGCUCUGGCUAUCACUCCUACUACGGGAUUUCCUCUCUCAUCAGAACCAGUAGGUGGUCAAAACCACAAUAAUGCAUAAAUGAAGGCAGGGAAUUGGGUAUCCAAUGUGAGCAACUGAAAAGGUGCCAUGUAUUAGCUAUUUGCCAUUAUGGUUCUGCAAGUGCUCAGAUGACUCAUAAAAUGACCAGAACAAAA
Homo sapiens (human) is the source of this 1464-nucleotide long non-coding RNA. Ensembl annotates it as eosinophil granule ontogeny transcript. Its record names the gene EGOT. Lineage: Eukaryota; Metazoa; Chordata; Mammalia; Primates; Hominidae. The record is from Ensembl.